UAGAUACCCUGGUAGUCCACGCCGUAAACGUUGGGAACUAGGUGUUGGCGACAUUCCACGUCGUCGGUGCCGCAGCUAACGCAUUAAGUUCCCCGCCUGGGGAGUACGGCCGCAAGGCUAAAACUCAAAGGAAUUGACGGGGGCCCGCACAAGCAGCGGAGCAUGUGGCUUAAUUCGACGCAACGCGAAGAACCUUACCAAGGCUUGACAUAUACCGGAAACGGCCAGAGAUGGUCGCCCCCUUGUGGUC
Molecule: ribosomal RNA, 250 nt
Filed under: uncultured bacterium
Lineage: Bacteria
Description: partial 16S ribosomal RNA
Rfam family: Bacterial small subunit ribosomal RNA
Source: RNAcentral